Molecule: ribosomal RNA, 448 nt
Filed under: uncultured bacterium
Lineage: Bacteria
Description: partial 16S ribosomal RNA
Rfam family: Bacterial small subunit ribosomal RNA
Source: RNAcentral
UCCAGACUCCUACGGGAGGCAGCAGUGGGGAAUAUUGGACAAUGGGGGGAACCCUGAUCCAGCGACGCCGCGUGAGUGAAGAAGUAUUUCGGUAUGUAAAGCUCUAUCAGCAGGGAAGAAAGAAAUGACGGUACCUGACUAAGAAGCCCCGGCUAACUACGUGCCAGCAGCCGCGGUAAUACGUAGGGGGCAAGCGUUAUCCGGAUUUACUGGGUGUAAAGGGAGCGUAGACGGCGAUGCAAGUCUGAAGUGAAAGGCGGGGGCCCAACCCCCGGACUGCUUUGGAAACUGCGAGGCUGGAGUGUCGGAGAGGCAGGCGGAAUUCCUAGUGUAGCGGUGAAAUGCGUAGAUAUUAGGAGGAACACCAGUGGCGAAGGCGGCCUGCUGGACGAUGACUGACGCUGAGGCUCGAAAGCGUGGGGAGCAGACAGGAUUAGAUACCCCAGUA